GAUAAACGCUGGCGGCGCACAUAAGACAUGCAAGUCGAACGGACUUAACUCAUUCUUUUAGAUUGAGAGCGGUUAGUGGCGGACUGGUGAGUAACACGUAAGCAACCUGCCUAUCGGAGGGGAAUAACAGUGAGAAAUCAUUGCUAAUACCGCAUAAGCUAGUAGCAUCGCAUGAUGUAGUUAGAAAAGGAGUAAUCCGCUGAUAGAUGGGCUUGCGUCUGAUUAGCUAGUUGGUGGGGCAACGGCCUACCAAGGCGACGAUCAGUAGCCGGACUGAGAGGUUGAACGGCCACAUUGGGACUGAGAUACGGCCCAGACUCCUACGGGAGGCAGCAGUCGGGAAUAUUGCGCAAUGGAGGAAACUCUGACGCAGUGACGCCGCGUAUAGGAAGAAGGUUUUCGGAUUGUAAACUAUUGUCGUGAGGGAAGAAAUUGACAGUACCUCAGGAGGAAGCUCCGGCUAACUAUGUGCCAGCAGCCGCCGUAA
Molecule: ribosomal RNA, 487 nt
Filed under: uncultured bacterium
Lineage: Bacteria
Description: partial 16S ribosomal RNA
Rfam family: Bacterial small subunit ribosomal RNA
Source: RNAcentral